RNAcentral lists this ribosomal RNA (484 nucleotides) under uncultured bacterium. RNAcentral describes it as "partial 16S ribosomal RNA". It matches the Rfam family "Bacterial small subunit ribosomal RNA", at positions 30 to 507 of the family's 1533-position model. The record is from RNAcentral.
AUUGAACGCUGGCGGCAGGCCUAACACAUGCAAGUCGAGCGGAUGAAGGGAGCUUGCUCCUGGAUUCAGCGGCGGACGGGUGAGCAAUGCCUAGGAAUCUGCCUGGUAGUGGGGGAUAACGUCCGGAAACGGGCGCUAAUACCGCAUACGUCCUGAGGGAGAAAGUGGGGGAUCUUCGGACCUCACGCUAUCAGAUGAGCCUAGGUCGGAUUAGCUAGUUGGUGGGGUAAAGGCCUACCAAGGCGACGAUCCGUAACUGGUCUGAGAGGAUGAUCAGUCACACUGGAACUGAGACACGGUCCAGACUCCUACGGGAGGCAGCAGUGGGGAAUAUUGGACAAUGGGCGAAAGCCUGAUCCAGCCAUGCCGCGUGUGUGAAGAAGGUCUUCGGAUUGUAAAGCAUUUUAAGUUGGGAGGAAGGGCAGUAAGUUAAUACCUUGCUGUUUUGACGUUACCAACAGAAUAAGCACCGGCUAACUUCGUG